AGAAUAAAAAAAUGUUUUUGUGGAAGUGUAAUUUUAUAAAAUAGCCCUUGUUUGACUGACCCUGCGGUUCAAUUUGCCUACUUAGUAGGUACUGUUUUUGUGUUGAAAUAGCAGAUACAUUUGAGUGCAUGGCAAAAUAGAUGGGACGUACUAACAGGAAGCGGAAGUGGCCGUUGUUGCCUAGACAACAUUGUGGCCAACAACUGUCACACACAUCAAAAUACACCUCUUCUUUCCAUUAAGGAUUCUUCAUCUGGUAAUGGUUCAUCAUGCCAAGGGCUUCCAUUGCAUCAUUGACAGACUCCCACUCCAGAAGCCCAGACGAACUCUUCUCUGAUGAGGAACCUAAUGAGAACCAGCGAGAAUGAAAUAUCAACAAGAGAUGGACACGACGUGCAGCCAUAUUGGACGUAGAUCUCUUAUCUUUGCAUGAUUAAAUUAUAAUGCAACCUAUCUUGACCUCAAAAUGCUUGUUUUCUCAAACUAAUGUGUAGUUUAACCUCGGAAAACAUUUAUGAACGUUUAUUUAUGAUGAGUGGAUGUGAUUUUUGGAACUUAAAAAAACAGGACUUUAUUCAAUAGCAUUGCAAAGCUAGGAAUAGACGCAAUUUCUAUUUAUCAUUACUCCAGUCGUGGAGGGCAGAAGAAAGGACGACAGUUACACCAUAGAUGGCAUGAGGACGGAUGAGAAGAAAAAAAACCUGGAUUCUGUAUUCAAGGCCAAAUUUCAAUCCGAAGCCUACCUCAAACCCAACACUUUAAGACUUUAUGACAAGAAACUUGACAUCGCUUACCUUUUGCUGCAAAA
Molecule: long non-coding RNA, 808 nt
Organism: Triplophysa dalaica
Lineage: Eukaryota; Metazoa; Chordata; Actinopteri; Cypriniformes; Nemacheilidae
Exons: 3
Source: RefSeq, a predicted model, not a curated record